CGAAGAACCUUACCAGGUCUUGACAUCCCGAUGCUAUUUCUAGAGAUAGAAAGUUACUUCGGUACAUCGGUGACAGGUGGUGCAUGGUUGUCGUCAGCUCGUGUCGUGAGAUGUUGGGUUAAGUCCCGCAACGAGCGCAACCCCUAUUGUUAGUUGCCAUCAUUCAGUUGGGCACUCUAGCGAGACUGCCGGUAAUAAACCGGAGGAAGGUGGGGAUGACGUCAAAUCAUCAUGCCCCUUAUGACCUGGGCUACACACGUGCUACAAUGGUUGGUACAACGAGUUGCGAGUCGGUGACGGCGAGCUAAUCUCUUAAAGCCAAUCUCAGUUCGGAUUGUAGGCUGCAACUCGCCUACAUGAAGUCGGAAUCGCUAGUAAUCGCGGAUCAGCACGCCGCGGUGAAUACGUUCCCGGGCCUU
This 419-nucleotide ribosomal RNA is filed under the name uncultured Streptococcus sp. RNAcentral describes it as "bacterial SSU rRNA". It matches the Rfam family "Bacterial small subunit ribosomal RNA", at positions 962 to 1382 of the family's 1533-position model. The record is from RNAcentral. Lineage: Bacteria; Bacillati; Bacillota; Bacilli; Lactobacillales; Streptococcaceae.